GUCCCUGUAGUGCAAUGGAUAGCAUGUUGAACCUCUAAUCCAAAGGUCAUGGUUUCGAAUUCCAGCUGUGAUG
Non-coding RNA from Trichonephila clavipes, 73 nucleotides. The record is from the annotation of a GenBank genome assembly. NCBI's taxonomy places the organism in Eukaryota, Metazoa, Arthropoda, Arachnida, Araneae, Nephilidae.